GACGAACGCUGGCGGCGUGCUUAACACAUGCAAGUCGAGCGGUAAGGCCCUUUCGGGGGUACGACGAGCGGCGAACGGGUGAGUAACACGUGGGUGACCUGCCCUCAGCUCUGGGAUAAGCCUGGGAAACCGGGUCUAAUACUGGAUAUGACUCCAUGACGCAUGUUGUGGGGUGGAAAGCCUUGUGCGGCUGAGGAUGGGCCCGCGGCCUAUCAGCUUGUUGGUGGGGGUG
RNAcentral lists this ribosomal RNA (232 nucleotides) under uncultured bacterium. RNAcentral describes it as "partial 16S ribosomal RNA". It matches the Rfam family "Bacterial small subunit ribosomal RNA", at positions 28 to 260 of the family's 1533-position model. The record is from RNAcentral.